AACGCUGGCGGCAUGCUUUACACAUGCAAGUCGAACGGCAGCAUAGAGAGCUUGCUCUCUGAUGGCGAGUGGCGCACGGGUGAGUAAUACAUCGGAACGUGUCCUGUUGUGGGGGAUAACUACUCGAAAGAGUAGCUAAUACCGCAUAAGACCUAAGGGUGAAAGCGGGGGACCUUCGGGCCUCGCGCAGUUGGAGCGGCCGAUGACUGAUUAGCUAGUUGGUGGGGUAAAGGCCUACCAAGGCGACGAUCAGUAGCUGGUCUGAGAGGACGACCAGCCACAUUGGGACUGAGACACGGCCCAAACUCCUACGGGAGGCAGCAGUGGGGAAUUUUGGACAAUGGGGGCAACCCUGAUCCAGCCAUGCCGCGUGCGGGAAGAAGGCCUUCGGGUUGUAAACCGCUUUUGUUAGGAACGAAAAGGUAUCUGUGAACAACAGGUAUUGCUGACGGUACCUAAAGAAUAAGCACCGGCUAACUACGUGCCAGCAGCCGCGGUAAUACGUAGGGUGCGAGCGUUAAUCGGAAUUACUGGGCGUAAAGCGUGCGCAGGCGGUUGGGUAAGACAGGUGUGAAAUCCCCGAGCUUAACUUGGGAACUGCACUUGUGACUGCUCAACUAGAGUAUGUCAGAGGGAGGUGGAAUUCCAAGUGUAGCAGUGAAAUGCGUAGAUAUUUGGAAGAACACCGAUGGCGAAGGCAGCCUCCUGGGAUAAUACUGACGCUCAUGCACGAAAGCGUGGGGAGCAAACAGGAUUAGAUACCCUGGUAGUCCACGCCCUAAACGAUGUCAACUAGUUGUUGGGCCGCAUGGCUUAGUAACACAGCUAACGCGAGAAGUUGACCGCCUGGGGAGUACGGUCGCAAGAUUAAAACUCAAAGGAA
RNAcentral lists this ribosomal RNA (883 nucleotides) under human gut metagenome. RNAcentral's name for it is "bacterial SSU rRNA". It matches the Rfam family "Bacterial small subunit ribosomal RNA", at positions 32 to 909 of the family's 1533-position model. The record is from RNAcentral.